CGUUGUUCGGAUUUACUGGGCGUAAAGGGCGCGUAGGCGGCGUGGUAAGUCACUUGUGAAAUCUCCGAGCUUAACUCGGAACGGUCAAGUGAUACUGCUGUGCUAGAGUGCAGAAGGGGCAACUGGAAUUCUCGGUGUAGCGGUGAAAUGCGUAGAUAUCGAGAGGAACACCUGCGGCGAAGGCGGGUUGCUGGGCUGACACUGACGCUGAUGUGCGAAAGCUAGGGGAGCGAACGGG
This 238-nucleotide ribosomal RNA is filed under the name uncultured bacterium. Its description in RNAcentral is "partial 16S ribosomal RNA". It matches the Rfam family "Bacterial small subunit ribosomal RNA", at positions 539 to 776 of the family's 1533-position model. The record is from RNAcentral.